Molecule: long non-coding RNA, 497 nt
Organism: Fundulus heteroclitus (mummichog)
Lineage: Eukaryota; Metazoa; Chordata; Actinopteri; Cyprinodontiformes; Fundulidae
Exons: 3
Source: RefSeq, a predicted model, not a curated record
UUCGGCUGAUUGUCAGAGCGACUUGCCAGGAGCAGCAGGUGUGUUUGUUUGUUUGUGUAGGAGUGAAUCAGUGCGUCGGGGUUCUGCUGUUUGUGCUGCUUUUACCGCACGCGGGGCUCCGGCUGCACGGCAACAAGUGAGCUCCGCGAGCGAGCGUGCGUGCGUGCGCGCGCGCGAGCGAGCGAGGCCGGGAAGUGACACGCACACACCGCGCAGAGAUCCCAGCAAAGCAGAUGUGCUCCUGACCCUGAGCUCAGCCACUGAAAUGCAAAGUCGGAUGCCUGUUUGGCACAGCUCCCCCCUCCCCCCUUCACUCCUCCUGUACAGAGGUUUCCGAGAGACAAGCCAGUCAGCCACCAAGUCAGCCGCCCAGCGAGUCAGCCAGCCUGCGCACCACUCUACUGUUCCUGUGCUUCCACACGGCUCCCAAUCAGCUGGUUGGGUAGGACGACAUAGCUGGCGGCCUCAGGCAACAUACCUUUGUGCAGUGGCACGGG